UGGGGAAUCUUGCGCAAUGGGCGAAAGCCUGACGCAGCGACGCCGCGUGCGGGAUGAAGGCCUUCGGGUUGUAAACCGCUGUCGGGAGGGACGAAUACAUGACGGUACCUCCAAAGGAAGCACCGGCUAACUCCGUGCCAGCAGCCGCGGUAAUACGGAGGGUGCGAGCGUUGUCCGGAAUCACUGGGCGUAAAGGGCGCGUAGGCGGCCUGAUAAGUAGGGGGUGAAAUCCUGCGGCUUAACCGCAGGGCUGCCUUCUAAACUGUCAGGCUCGAGCACAGUAGAGGCAGGUGGAAUUCCCGGUGUAGCGGUGGAAUGCGUAGAGAUCGGGAAGAACAUCGGUGGCGAAGGCGGCCUGCUGGGCUGUUGCUGACGCUGAGGCGCGACAGCGUGGGGAGCAAACAG
RNAcentral lists this ribosomal RNA (405 nucleotides) under uncultured bacterium. Its description in RNAcentral is "bacterial SSU rRNA". It matches the Rfam family "Bacterial small subunit ribosomal RNA", at positions 355 to 775 of the family's 1533-position model. The record is from RNAcentral.